UCCGUUGAUCCUGCGGAAGGUUGCUGCUAUUAGGAUUCGACUUAGCCAUGCAAGUCUUCUCGCAAGAGAGGCAAACUGCUCAGUAACACGUUGAUAAUCUGCCUUUUGGUCUGGGAUAACCUUGGGAAACUGAGGAUAAAACCGGAUAGGAGAUUAAUUCUGGAACGAUUUUUCUCCCAAAAGCAAUGCCAAAAGAUGAGUCAGCGGCGGAUUAGGUUGUUGGUGAGGUAAAGGCUCACCAAGCCGAAGAUCCGUAAGGGCCUUGAGAGAGGGAGCCCUGAGAAGGACACUUAGAUACUGGUCCUAGCCCCACGGGGUGCAGCAGGCGCGAAAACUUUACAAUGCACGCAAGUGUGAUAAGGGAAUCCUAAGUGCUUAUGUUUUACAUAGGCUUUUGCCAAGGGUAAGUACCUUGGCGAAUAAGUGGUGGGUCAGACAGGUGCCAGCCGCCGCGGUAACACCUGCGCCACAAGUGGGAAUCACUUUUAUUGGGCCUAAAGCGUCCGUAGCCGGUUUGAUAAAUCUUCUGUGAAAUCAUUAAGCUCAACUUAAUGGAUUGCAGAAGACACUAUCAGACUAGGAACCGGGAGGAGCUAGAAGUAUUUUUGGGGGAGCGGUAAAAUGCUAUAAUCCCAAAAAGACUACCAGUGGUGAAGACGUCUAGCUAGAACGGGUUCGACGGUGAGGGACGAAAGCUAGGGGAGCGAUCCGGAUUAGAUACCCGAGUAGUCCUAGCUGUAAACGCUGCGAGCAAGGUGUUGUAUAAUCUACGUGAUUGUGCAGUGUCGAAACGAAGGUGAUAAGCUCGCCGCCUGGGAAGUACGGUCGCAAGACUGAAACUUAAAGGAAUUGGCGGGGGAGCACUACAAGGGGUGCGGCGUGCGGUUUAAUCUAAUUCAACGCAGAAAAUCUCACCAGAAGCGACGGCAGGAUGAAGGUCAAGCUGAAGACUUUACCUGACGAGCCGAGAGGUAGUGCAUGGCCGCCGUCAGCUCGUGCCGUGAGGUGUCCUGUUAAGUCAGGCAACGAGCGAGACCUGUACCUAUAAUUGCUAACAACCAUUUAUGGAAUUGAGCACAUUAUAGGGACUGCCUUGGAAACAAGGAGGAAGGUGCAGGCUACGGUAGGUCUGUAUGCUCCGAAUCCUCUGGGCUACACGCGCGCAACAAUGGUAUAGACAAUGGGAUACAACUCCGAAAGGAGAAGUUAAUCCUCUAAACUAUGCCUUAGUACGGAUUGAGGGUUGCAACUCACCCUCAUGACGAUGGAAUCCCUAGUAAUCGGACGUCAUUAUCGUCCGGUGAAUAUGUCCCUGCUCCUUGCACACACCGCCCGUCAAACCACUCGAGCAGGGUUUAGAUAAGCGACAUCGUUUUAGAUAUUGCGAAUCUAAACUCAGUGAGAUGGGUUAAGUCGUCACAAGGUA
RNAcentral lists this ribosomal RNA (1426 nucleotides) under metagenome. RNAcentral's name for it is "bacterial SSU rRNA". It matches the Rfam family "Archaeal small subunit ribosomal RNA". The record is from RNAcentral.